AUACGUAGGAUCCGAGCGUUGUCCGGAUUUACUGGGCGUAAAGGGUGCGUAGGCGGCGUGGUAAGUCUCAUGUGAAAUCUCCCGGCUCAACUGGGAGGGGUCAUGGGAUACUGCCAUGCUCGAGGGCAGUAGAGGAGAGCGGAAUUCCGGGAGUAGCGGUGAUAUGCGUAGAUACCCGGAGGAACACCCGUGGCGAAAGCGGCUCUCUAGGCUGUACCUGACGCUAAGGCACGAAAUCGUGGGGAGCAAACCGGAUUAGAAACCCCAGUAGUCC
Molecule: ribosomal RNA, 274 nt
Filed under: uncultured bacterium
Lineage: Bacteria
Description: partial 16S ribosomal RNA
Rfam family: Bacterial small subunit ribosomal RNA
Source: RNAcentral